This 497-nucleotide ribosomal RNA is filed under the name uncultured bacterium. Its description in RNAcentral is "partial 16S ribosomal RNA". It matches the Rfam family "Bacterial small subunit ribosomal RNA", at positions 28 to 507 of the family's 1533-position model. The record is from RNAcentral.
GAUGAACGCUGGCGGCGUGCCUAAUACAUGCAAGUCGGGCGAACGGACGAGAAGCUUGCUUCUCUGAUGUUAGCGGCGGACGGGUGAGUAACACGUGGAUAACCUACCUAUAAGACUGGGAUAACUUCGGGAAACCGGAGCUAAUACCGGAUAAUAUUUUGAACCGCAUGGUUCAAAAGUGAAAGACGGUCUUGCUGUCACUUAUAGAUGGAUCCGCGCUGCAUUAGCUAGUUGGUAAGGUAACGGCUUACCAAGGCAACGAUGCAUAGCCGACCUGAGAGGGUGAUCGGCCACACUGGAACUGAGACACGGUCUAGACUCCUACGGGAGGCAGCAGUAGGGAAUCUUCCGCAAUGGGCGAAAGCCUGACGGAGCAACGCCGCGUGAGUGAUGAAGGUCUUCGGAUCGUAAAACUCUGUUAUUAGGGAAGAACAUAUGUGUAAGUAACUGUGCACAUCUUGACGGUACCUAAUCAGAAAGCCACGGCUAACUACGUG